GUUGUAGUGUUUCAUUAUAACACGAUUUUUGUUUUCAUGCUUCUCCGCUGGCUUUUAAAAUUAUUUCACCUGAGGUUCCAGGAAAAGAAAACGCCAGAAAGGUUUCUUGAAGCCACCUGGGAACAACGUGCAGGGGAACAUAAAAGAGCGUCGCGCAGCCAUCUGAGUCCCACAGGCUAAGUGUGAUACAGCUGAGACGUGGCAACGGUGUACAAGGCCCAGGUCAGAGUGAGUCGUUUCACCAUCUACUUUUCAACAGAUUGGCUCUCUCUGCAGAGUCAUGCAAACCCAGGGCAGGCACUACAGGGCAGUGCCACACACAGGAUGAAGGAUUGAAACCUUUUUCAUCUUAAACUGAGAUUGCAAAGGGAGAGGGAAGGCUUGUUCACUACAUGUUUGUUUCCAAGCAGGUCUGCGCUCGGGGUGUCGGGCGGGCCGGAAGGGGCACCAGGAGACACGGUCGCCUCCGACCUGACCCAGCAGCUCUGCUGUCCCACGCGAGACAGCCCGUCUCCCGCCGGGGAUAUAGCGUGUCUCCAACACCAGUGACACCGUGUCUGUGUGGAAGAAUGGAUGGACUUCACAGAGCGCCUGCGUGAGGGGUUAUACAUCGCGCCUCUCGACCACAAAGUAUUGGUUUUGCAGAAAUUGUUCCGUUUUUCAAUAUUUUUAAUGGGAAGGAUACUGAUUCUUAGUGGGCUUCCUUGCAAACCAGGUGAAAACGUUCUCUAAAUUUCUGUUAGUUUUCAUGCGUGAUGCAAUUUAUAUUGCUUCUGAAGCGGUUAUUUAAAGAGCUUUUUAUCACACUGGUGCCGUCUGCACGCAAUUACAGAACGAGAGGUUCCUUCGCGUUCACGUGCUUGCUGCAUACAGCUGUGCUGCCCUCUGCCGACAAAGAGCCGCAUGUUUCUCUUGACCCUGGUCUACGUUGCAAGUCCUUCUGGAAUACGUAAAAGCUACCGAUGAACGAAAAUUCACGUCUUCCAGAUAUGCGAAUAUAAUAUAUCUGGCUUGUACCUUGAUUAUAUUCACGUGUGAAAAGCAGUGACUCCUCAGUAACUGCUUACAAACUGCUGUCAGAAAGAUCUGGCUACUUUCACUAAAUAAAGGGUUA
Molecule: long non-coding RNA, 1114 nt
Filed under: Lepisosteus oculatus (spotted gar)
Lineage: Eukaryota; Metazoa; Chordata; Actinopteri; Semionotiformes; Lepisosteidae
Description: lncRNA (ENSLOCG00000021855.1)
Source: RNAcentral